GACGAACGCUGGCGGCGUGCUUAACACAUGCAAGUCGAACGAUGACGACCGAGCUUGCUCGGUCUGAUUAGUGGCGAACGGGUGAGUAACACGUGAGUAACCUGCCCCCCACUUCGGGAUAACUUCGAGAAAUCGUGGCUAAUACCGGAUAUGAACUUCCGCCGCAUGGUGGUUGUUGGAAAGUUUUUCGGUGGGGGAUGGACUCGCGGCCUAUCAGUUUGUUGGUGAGGUAAUGGCUCACCAAGACGAUGACGGGUAGCCGGCCUGAGAGGGCGACCGGCCACACUGGGACUGAGACACGGCCCAGACUCCUACGGGAGGCAGCAGUGGGGAAUAUUGCACAAUGGGCGAAAGCCUGAUGCAGCGACGCCGCGUGAGGGAUGACGGCCUUCGGGUUGUAAACCUCUUUCAGUAGGGAAGAAGCGAGAGUGACGGUACCUGCAGAAGAAGCGCCGGCUAACUACGUGCCAGCAGCCGCGGUAAUACGUAGGGCGCAAGCGUUGUCCGGAAUUAUUGGGCGUAAAGAGCUUGUAGGUGGCUUGUCGCGUCUGCCGUGAAAACCCGAGGCUCAACCUCGGGCGUGCGGUGGGUACGGGCAGGCUAGAGUGUGGUAGGGGAGACUGGAACUCCUGGUGUAGCGGUGAAAUGCGCAGAUAUCAGGAAGAACACCGAUGGCGAAGGCAGGUCUCUGGGCCAUUACUGACACUGAGAAGCGAAAGCAUGGUAGCGAACAGGA
RNAcentral lists this ribosomal RNA (736 nucleotides) under uncultured Actinomycetes bacterium. RNAcentral's name for it is "bacterial SSU rRNA". It matches the Rfam family "Bacterial small subunit ribosomal RNA", at positions 28 to 777 of the family's 1533-position model. The record is from RNAcentral. Lineage: Bacteria; Bacillati; Actinomycetota; Actinomycetes.